GUGGGGAAUAUUGCACAAUGGGCGCAAGCCUGAUGCAGCAAUGCCGCGUGUGUGAAGAAGGCCUGCGGGUUGUAAAGCACUUUCAGUAAGGAGGAAAAUUUUAAGGUUAAUAACCUUGAAACUUGACGUUACUUACAGAAGAAGCACCGGCUAACUCCGUGCCAGCAGCCGCGGUAAUACGGAGGGUGCGAGCGUUAAUCGGAAUUACUGGGCGUAAAGCGUGCGUAGGCGGCAUGGUCAGUCGGAUGUGAAAGCCCCGGGCUUAACCUGGGAAUUGCAUUCGAUACUGCCAAGCUAGAGUAUGUUAGAGGAAAGUGGAAUUCCCGGUGUAGCGGUGAAAUGCGUAGAUAUCGGGAGGAACAUCAGUGGCGAAGGCGACUUUCUGGAUCAAUACUGACGCUGAGGUACGAAAGCGUGGGGAGCAAACAGG
This 430-nucleotide ribosomal RNA is filed under the name uncultured bacterium. RNAcentral describes it as "bacterial SSU rRNA". It matches the Rfam family "Bacterial small subunit ribosomal RNA", at positions 354 to 776 of the family's 1533-position model. The record is from RNAcentral.